GUAGCAUCCGCGUCAUCUGACCACUUUUCUAUUGAGCGAGAAACUAGUACUUCCGUGGAACAUGAACCAAUUGGACUACAUUAUCUAUGGAUGUAAUAUUUCAUCAUCAUUCUUUAUCAGACACUGUUUCUAUGGUCCCAUGUACCACUUUUCCAGACCAUGUUUUCACAUUUGACAUUACUGUACACUCACCGGCCACUUUAUUAGGUACACCUAUCUAGUACUGGGUAGGACCCCCUUUUGCCUCCACAACAGCAUGAAUUAUUCACGGUGUUGUACGUUAAGAGAUGCCCUUCCGCACACCUUUCUGUUAGCUUGAAUGAGUCUGGACAUUCUCCUCUGACCUCUCUCAUUAUCAAGGUGUUUUUCCCACAGAACUGCCGCCCACUGAAUGUGUUUUGUUUAUCGCACCAUUCUCUGUAAACUCUAGAGACUGUAGUGCGUAAAAAUCCCAGGAAGGCAGCUGUUUCUGAGAUGCUGGAACCACCAUGUGUGGCAUCAACAAUCAUAUCACGGUCAAAGUUGCUUAGAUUUCACAUCUUGCUCGUUCUUAUGUUUGGUCGAACAACAACUUGAGCUCUAUACUCUAUAUACUCUAUAUAUUGAGUUGCAGGCAGCCACAUGAUUCGCUGUUCGAAGGGGCAGGCUAUUUGCCUUAACAUGCAGGUGUACCUAAUAAUGUGGCCGGUGAGUGUAUGUAUGCAGGCCCUUCUAAUUGCUUUUCCAAUACUACCAACUCGUUCCUGAUGAUUGAUUUCACAUUGUGGUACGAGUAUAUAGUGAAAUGAGUGGUAUCCACCUACAACAACAUAGUGAUAACAUGGAGCCGGCAGGUGAUCCAGGUCACAAUAGAGGUCAAGCAGUGGGAGGAGGAAGACGAGGAAGACGUGGUGGUCAAAGGAAUGGCAGGGGACAAGCACCCCUUCUGAGAGGUGGUCGUGGGCCUCGUUGGAGAGGUGUGGGGAACAUGGUAGAGGACACGGCCACGGACCAAACACCCCUUUUGAGAGGUGGUCGUGGGCCUCGUUG
Long non-coding RNA from Oncorhynchus tshawytscha (Chinook salmon), 1029 nucleotides. The record is from Ensembl. Lineage: Eukaryota; Metazoa; Chordata; Actinopteri; Salmoniformes; Salmonidae.